RNAcentral lists this long non-coding RNA (1532 nucleotides) under Cyanistes caeruleus (blue tit). RNAcentral's name for it is "lncRNA (ENSCCEG00000022745.1)". The record is from RNAcentral. Lineage: Eukaryota; Metazoa; Chordata; Aves; Passeriformes; Paridae.
UUUUGCAUUUUUGUACUAAAUGUCUAUUGUUUUUUUCAAGGGGGACUGUAUGACUGAUAGUGUGACUUAAGAAGGAUAUAUUUAAUUUAUUGCUGUUUCAAAAAGCUUAUAAAAACAAAGUAUUGAUAAGAAAACUUUUUUAGUUUUCAUCAUUUGUCAUUCUUAGAAGUAGUUAUUAGCUUAACUUGGUAUUAUUAUUCCUCUGAAAGUUGUAAGAAAGAAUGAUAACUACUAUGACUUCAUGACACUUCAAAUAAUAGAUCCCUUUUUUUGGUUGCUUAUUACUUUACUGAGUUUUAGCAUAUAACUUCUUUACAAGUCCAAAGCUAUACUCAAAUUUUUGAAAAAAGUCAGACUGAUUCAAUGAUAUCUGAUAAUGAGGCGAGAUUUACCCAUGAUGAAAUUUAUAGGCAAUCUUAUUUAAAUAUUUUCAGUAUUUUUAUGAACUUGAGCUUUUAAGAGUCUAACUUUUGGGAGUUUUUUCAUCUGAAUAUAAAAAUUUAUCCAUCCAAAUUUGUUGAAAUUGCAAUGCACUGAAAUACUACAUUUACAUAAGUGUUAAGGAUUUGACACUUAUAGAGAAUAAGUUCCUCAAAUAUUUUAUUCACAUUUUAUGUAUCCCAAAAUAUGCUUAGCUAAUGCUCUGUUGACAAUUUCAUCUCUUUGUCCAGAAACUACAAUACUCUCAUAUUCCAUGACCUCUCUUCUGGGACAUAACAAUAUUAGCAGAUAGCUUCCAUGUUUGAACACAGAAGGAUGAAAAUCAGAUCUGAACAGAGAGAAAAAGAUGAAGAAAUGCUAUUGACUGUUCCAGGCUAUCAUGAUUGCAGUAUUAAAAAUGGGAAGGCACUAUGGAGACUGAGGUAAAAAAAAAUCCAUAGAGUUUUUACAUAUCCAAGCCCAACUCUCACUGACAUAAGGUGUGUCUGAAAAUGUUCUCUUCAGCCAAACAGUCUCAUGGUUUCAGAUGGCAGUAGAAAACUCCCUACUUUUCCAUCUUAAGACAAAAGACCUUACAAAGGACCCUAAUAAAGUCAAAGGAAGAAAAAACAUCCAAAUCAUCUCCGUUUCACAAUUUUCCAGCAUGCUUCUUAUGGUGAAAGGAACUGAUUUCAAAGGAAAGGAAGAAAGGAAGAAGAAAUGUCUCUUUCAAGCAUUGCUGGAAGGAGUGGCUUAACGUUCUAAACAUAAUGGAAAUGUCUGAAUUUGCUGAGCCAAUGAUUUAACCUGAGUUAGGUUUGAGUGAAAUCUUCUUUGAGAUGUGAGCACUGAUUUCCCUUGAAUUUAAUGAGUGGAUCUUUUGAGAGUAAAUUUUAAACACUGACCAUGUGUUGGCUGUGUGAGGGUGCAGAGCAUUCUGCCUCCACACCCUUCUGCAGAAAUGCUGGGGGAAAGCCAGCAUUAUGUCAAAGCCAUGAAGACUGAAACUUUAUUUUUAAAGCAUUUUUACUUUUUGCUUUCUCACCAUUAUUUCUGGUUUGGCUUGGGGUUUUUUGUUUCCCUUUUUUUCCCGCCCUCCUCUAAGGAAACAG